CGUAGUCAACCUGCCCUGGAGACAAGGACAACCCCGGGAAACUGGGAUUAAUCCUUGAUAGGUCAUCUCAUCUGGAAGGAGAGAUGGCUUAAAGGGGUACGCGGGCUUCUUCCGCGAAUUCGCUCCAGGAUGGGACUGCGUCCGAUCAGGCUGUUGGCGGGGUAAUGGCCCACCAAACCUGUAACCGGUACGGGCCUUGAGAGAGGUGGCCCGGAGAUGGACACUGAGAGAAGGGUCCAGGUCCUACGGGGCGCAGCAGGCGCGAAACCUUCGCAAUGCGCGAAAGCGUGACGAGGUUAAUCCGAGUGACUUCCGCUGAGGAGGUCUUUUGUCAGCUGUAAAUAGGCAGGCGAAUAAGGGGAGGGCAAGCCUGGUGUCAGCCGCCGCGGUAAUACCAGCUCCUCGAGUGGUCGGGGCGAUUAUUGGGCCUAAAGCAUCCGUAGCCGGUUCCGUAGGUCCUCUGUUAAAUCCAACCGCUUAACGGUUGACAUGCAGAGGAUACCGCGGGACUAGGAGGCGGGAGAGGCGGACGGUACUCCGCGUGUAGGGGUAAAAUCCUUUGAUCCGCGGAAGACCACCAGUGGCGAAGGCGGUCCGCCAGAACGCGCUCGACGGUGAGGGAUGAAAGCUGGGGGAGCGAACCGGAUUAGAUACCCGGGUAGUCCCAGCCGU
RNAcentral lists this ribosomal RNA (672 nucleotides) under uncultured archaeon. Its description in RNAcentral is "bacterial SSU rRNA". It matches the Rfam family "Archaeal small subunit ribosomal RNA", at positions 99 to 754 of the family's 1478-position model. The record is from RNAcentral.